CGCUGAAACACUGGUUCUCGUACGAUCAUCGAAGUUAAGCAAUGUCGAUCUUGUUAAGUACAUAGAUGUGUGACCUCUUGAGAAUAUCAGGUGCUGUGA
Non-coding RNA from Acanthosepion pharaonis, 99 nucleotides. The record is from the annotation of a GenBank genome assembly. Lineage: Eukaryota; Metazoa; Mollusca; Cephalopoda; Sepiida; Sepiidae.